This 625-nucleotide long non-coding RNA is filed under the name Numida meleagris (helmeted guineafowl). RNAcentral's name for it is "lncRNA (ENSNMEG00000014752.1)". Lineage: Eukaryota; Metazoa; Chordata; Aves; Galliformes; Numididae. The record is from RNAcentral.
UGACGCUGGUAGCCGUUGGAGGUGGUGGCUCCGGUGCCCCUGCGAGGUGGUAGUUGCGUCUUGCCCGCUCUGUGGCCCUGAGGGGACUCAGCCCCUCCGGGCGCAGUUUCACCUCGGGGCCAACUCGUUAUGCAGUAAUUGGCACGCGAGAGGUGCCCGAGUGCUUACUUGGUAGGGAGAAAGAGCCAGCUUCCCAGCCGCCCUGGGUCUGAAGGGAGGCGCGCUGAGGCACUGACUCGAUCUCGUAUUCUGAAUUCUUGCACCAUGGCUCUUGGUUGAAUGUAACGUCCAUCAGUUUGUAUUCCGUCUCUGGGCACGGGCAUCCUCGUGGCAGCAGCGAUGAGGGUGACGAGAAGACCGACUUCUCACUGAACGUGUCUGCACAGCCUGGUCAGGGAGAAAGCCAUGAAGGAUCUCCUCUCUCUUCGCUCUCCUCCUGGCUGCUGUGCUUGCCUGAAGUCAUUUUCUGCUCAUAUUCUGGAGGUGGCACAGAGACUUGUCCUGUGUUCUCGUCUUCCGAUGAAUCUGCACAUUUUGAAGAAGGCUAUGCUGCUCAAGUCUGUCAUCACUUGUUGACGUAACUUUUUAAUUAACAACUGACAAGAUGAAGAUAUCUGACUAUGCA